Molecule: ribosomal RNA, 368 nt
Filed under: uncultured organism
Description: bacterial SSU rRNA
Rfam family: Bacterial small subunit ribosomal RNA
Source: RNAcentral
CGGAGGAUCCAAGCGUUAUCCGGAAUCAUUGGGUUUAAAAGGUCCGUAGGCGGUUUUAUAAGUCAGUGGUGAAAUCCGGUAGCUCAACUAUCGAACGGCCAUUGAUACUGUAGAACUUGAAUUAUUGUGAAGUAACUAGAAUAUGUAGUGUAGCGGUGAAAUGCUUAGAUAUUACAUGGAAUACCAAUUGCGAAGGCAGGUUACUAACAAUAUAUUGACGCUGAUGGACGAAAGCGUGGGGAGCGAACAGGAUUAGAUACCCUGGUAGUCCACGCCGUAAACGAUGGAUACUAGCUGUUUGGUAGCAAUACUGAGUGGCUAAGCGAAAGUGAUAAGUAUCCCACCUGGGGAGUACGAACGCAAGUUUG